This 65-nucleotide transfer RNA is filed under the name Plautia lushanica. RNAcentral describes it as "tRNA-Ala". The record is from RNAcentral. Lineage: Eukaryota; Metazoa; Arthropoda; Insecta; Hemiptera; Pentatomidae.
GGGGUUGUAGUUUUAUAACAUUUAAAUUGCAAUUAAAAAAUACUAAUCAUAAUUAGUCUUCCUCA